AAAUUGGGUUUUUUUAAAAAUUUUAUCCUUAUUCUUUUUGCAUGAUUAGUGCUACAAUUUUUGUAUUGGCAUCAAUAUUAGUUGCAAGAACUUGUUCACCAUCAACAAUUUUUAUUUGCUGGCACUUUUGCAUUGUCAUAAUAUUUUUAUACUUGAGACAUGACGAAACAAAUCUAUUUUUUUCAAGAAGGCCUAAUUUGGUACACUGUCCCAGACUGUAAUUGAUUGUUGUAUUACCUUUUGCAUUUAGGUCCUCUGCUAAAUGUGUUUAUUUUUUGCAAGAAGAGGCUUGGACUCUCUUUAAACAUUCUUCAAAUUUAUUAAAGUGUCAGACACAAUUUCAGGGCUAUUUGUUUAUUUGUGUUGGCACAAAGUUGUAAGGUGAUGCUUUACCUCUAGCUGUAGAAGCAACCUAGUAACGUAUCCCUGCUUCCGUGACCUUGGUUGUGAACAGGGGUAAGUUACUCAACACUGAAACAAAGAAAAUCUGUUGAGCUACAGUGACAGUGAGUGGGUUGGGAGGCUUUGACUGUAAUGGACAGAGACAAAUUCAGUCAUUUUGAACUUUACCAUCCAUAUGAAUCAGUGACAUCUAAUACUUAAUGAAUCAGUGACAUCUAAUGCUUACUAAUUACAGUGUCUGUAGUGGUCUUAAAAAGGUUAGUGUCUUCAAGACACGCCUAGUGGUUCCUUGUAAGAAUUUGCACUUGAGAAUGACAACCUUCUAAAUAAAAAGGGCAAAGCAUCUUUUAUAUGGCUUCGAACAAAGUGGAUGAAAAAUAGCUUGAAUAUUUGACUGACAGUGGCAUCUCCAAAUCACAUAGUAUGUAACACACCUAAAAACUAUAUGCUUGUCAGUUUCCACCUCUUUUAAUUUAGUACAUUCUUUGGCAAAACUUUAGCCCCACAACCCUUUGUGUGUCGUCAAAAUUAUCCACCCCACUCAAUUGUUUUGUUUUUCAUGAACUUUUCAGCUAGCUGUCUUUUCUUUUCAUUCCUCACCCAAGUUUCAUGAAGCUAUCUCACAGGAUUGUUUGAGCAACCAGAAAGAAAUCGAUCGAUAUAUGUGGCACCCAUGCACAAUGGACUGUUCUCAAAACACAGUUUUUAGUCAACAAGGAAAGUAGAUGUUACUUACUCUGAAUGAAAGCAACACUUAAGUUCUUCUAUUCAAUGGAAGAAAUAGAGUCUAAAGCGCAGCCUCUAAAGGAAAUGGCUUUGAUUAAGGUUAUGGGAUCUCUCCCAUGCCCAAACGCUCUCAGAUUACAUAACAUCAAAUGCGUAUAUGCUGAAUUUGAACUCCUCAAUAUUAUGAACCCUAGUUCCAAUCACAAAACCCUAGAUUUACAACAAAAUUCAACAACACAUCAAAUGAAGAAUCAUCGAACAUGCAAAAUCAUAAAAUAAUUCAAAUGAUACCAUUGCACAUUCAAAUGGGUUUGAUCUUCAUUGUUCUCCUAUCUCCAUUGAUCUCGCUUUGAUAUGGUUGCUCUCAGAUUUUUAUGCUUGCACAAGAGCUCAAUGGCAAAUGGAUGUGGUUGUGAUGAUGUUGCUUGAUGUAGGCUAAAGCCAAUUCUGUAGAAUUGAAGUAUGCUCCAAGGUUGAUUGAUUGGAAAGAGAGGGGAAGAAGCCUCUUAUAUAGAGAGCAUCUUAAAAAUGGAGGGAUAAAAUUAAGUGGUGGGAUAAAAGAUGGUUGGCUAAGAUUGAAGGGUAGGUAGAGGGAAUAAUAAAAUAAAGGGAGUGGUUAAGAUAAAUGAGGAGAAAAAGCUAAAUGAAUUAAUUAAAUAAAUUAAAGAAUUUAUUUAAUUAAUAGGAGGAGGGCCACAUAAAUUAAAUAAAUAGAAUAUUUAUUUAAUUUGGGAAAAUAGAGAAUUAAAAUGAAUAAAAAUAUUUAUUUAAAUUAGGAUAGAAAAAGGGCUAGAAAAGGAUAAAUGAAUUAAUUAAACAAAUAUAAAUUCAUUUAAUUAAUAGAAGAAAAGGGAAUAAUUAAAUAAAUAAUAAUAUUUAUUUAAUUAGGCUAGGAGAAUUUUAAGUGUCUACAAUAGGCAUUGCAGAUAUUCAAACUGUAAAAGUAUAAGCAAUUUUCAAUUUGAAAACAAGUUAUAUAUGAAAUACAAUAUAGUGUAUUUAUUUCUUUUAUUCACAAUGUAAUAUGUCUGAUUGUUAUUUCCUGCAAAUGGAGAAAGAACAUUAAUUGAUUCCGAUGUCCUUCUCCGAGCAAAUGAAUCGGGUUAUAUAAGAUAAUGGGGAAGACCAAGAGUUGCUUUGGUCAGUUAUGUCCUUUGGACAUAACCAAUCAAGAUAACCCUUGAUUGCAUCCUAUCAUUACCCAACCGACAUGAUGCUAAUUAACCCGAUAUAAAUCGGUGCCUUUACGUGAUUCAUAUUAACUGAUUGUUAUCAGUGUAAAUGCAUAACCCGAUAAUAUGUAUCGGUAACUAAAGCAUCCUUAACCGAUUCCCAAUCGGUGGCAAUUAAACAACCCUGAUAUAUUAAUUGGUGCAUUACUAAUCACAUCCAAUAAUAUAUCGGUGGCAUCUUUAUUAAGUGCAAAUAGAUAGUUAUGAAGGAGUUCGAUAGAUCAUGAUAUAUCAAUAUAUAUUAAUAUACAUAUGAAGUAAUUAUUAUUACUUCAUAUAUAUAUAUUCAUACAUAUUCAUACAUCUUCAAGAUCGAACAUAUAUAUAUAUCUGCAUUAAUGCUAUUUGAUGAAAAGGGGUUUGUAUCAGUUUUAUCUGACCGAUGCUAUUUGUAUCAACACUCCCUCUUAGCUAGGGAAGAUAAAGUCAUAAUGUCUAGCAUCUUAUUUCUCAUGAUGGUCAGGAUUCCUUAUGGAGUCUUAUAAUCUCACUCUUCAUAGGAUCAUAUGAAGUAUCACCUAAACACGUGAUACAAGAGGUUCAUCAUUUUGAGAUGACAUGAUAUCACCUAAUCACGUGAUAUCAGUAUUGCCUAAACACGCAAUACUUAAGGAUAAACAUAUGAAAAUAGUUAAAUCUUCAACUUAUCCAAGUUGUGGUAAGUGCACUAACAUUUCAUUCAAAUGUUAUACCACAACACAAUCAUGGCACAUCCAUGACAUACCAGAGAUCCAACAUGAUAACUGGUUUGAACAUUAUAAGAUCGUCACCUUACAAUGUCUACAUACAAGUGUUCAUUGUCUGAGAGAUCGUCACCUCUUGGAUAUGAACACAGGGGGUUAAACCUAUAAAAGUCCUAUCAUGACAAAGAAGUUUACACAUUAAACAUCUUAUUGAUAUGCAAGUACAAAUUACAACAAAUUACCUUUCUAUCAUACCUAAACCUUUUCUGAAGUGAUCAACCUUCACUCUGGAAAGUGGUUUGGUCAGAAUAUCUGCAGUCUGAUCUCCUGUACUAACAUAUUUCAAUUUGAUCACAUUUUUGUCUACCAUGUCUCGCACAUAAUGGUAUGGAAUCUCAAUAUGCUUGGAUCUGUCAUGAAAUACUGGAUUUAUAGAAAGCUUUAUGCAGCUCUGGUUGUCACAAUGGAUGACAGUGGGUUUCAUGGGUUCACCAAAUAAUCCCACAAGCAACUUCCUAAGCCAUAUUGCCUCUCGAGCAGCCAUGGAAGCUGCAAUGUACUCGGCCUCGGUGGAACUUUGAGCUACAGAAGACUGUUUUUUGCUGAUCCAAGAUAUCAUGGCUGAACCUAAACUGAAGCAACACCCUGAAGUGCUUUUCCUGUCAGUCACACUCCCAGCCCAAUCUGAGUCUGUAAAUCCGUGUAGGUCUAGAUCAACUUUCUCAUAUUUGAGACCAAGGUUUAGAGUACCUUGCAAGUAUCUCAUAAUGUGUUUCACUGCAAUCAAGUGGAUUUCCUUAGGCUCACACAUAAACUGACUUAAGGCAUUGACCGCAUAACAGAUAUUUGGCCUUGUAUUCACUAGAUACAUCAGGGACCCAAUCAUCUGUCUGUAUAGAGUAGGAUCAGUGGAUUGUGACUCUGUUGCUGCUUCCUUAAGUUUAUGUAAAUUUGUUUCCAUGGGAGAGGUCAUAGGUCUGCAAUUAUGCAUUCCGAAUCUCUUCAAAAUGUCCAAGGUAUACUUUCCUUGGUUUAGUAUAAUGUUUUCAGAAGUUUGCCAUAUUUCCAAACCUAGGAAGUAAUGAAGGAGUCCCAAGUCCUUCAUAUCAAAUUCUUUAGAUAAAUCUUUCUUGCAUUGAUCUAUGAGGUGAUCUUCUCCUGUGAUUAGUAAGUCAUCAACAUAUAGAAUCAAUAUUAGCAUAUCACCUUUAUUUUGUUUGUAGCAGAGAUUUGGAUCUGCAUCAUUUUUAGAGAAGCCUAGUUUAGAGAGAUAGGUGUCAAUUUUUUCAUACCAGGCUCUGGGAGCCUGUUUAAGUCCAUAGAGAGCUUUCUUGAGUCUGCACACAUGAGACUCUGCACUCUGAAUUUCAAAUCCUUCAGGUUGCUCUAGGUAGACUUCUUCUGAGAUCUCACCAUUAAGAAAUGUUGUCUUAACAUCCAUCUGGUGCACCUUCCACCCUUUUGUUGCUGCUAUGGCUAGUAUUGUUCUUACUGAGGUAUAUCUGGCUACAGGUGCAAAGUUUUCUUCAUAAUCUAUCCCUUCCCUUUGAGAGAACCCUCUAGCUACAAAUCUGGCCUUGUGCUUUUCAAUACUACCAUCUGCAGCAUGUUUGAUUUUAAAAAGCCAUUUAGAUGAAACAACAGAUUUCUUAGUAGGCCUAGGAACGAUCUCCCAAACAUCAUUCUUCAUAAUGGACUGAUACUCUUCAGACAUGACAUCCUUCCAUACUUGAUGUUUAAGUGCAUCUAAUACAUUGUUUGGUUCAGCUUUAGAGAGAUCAUUCAUAAGAGCAACAUAGCUAGUGAAUUUAUUAGGUCUUUUGCUUUCCCUGAAGGUUCCUAAAGGAGCAGUAAACUUCUAAGCUUCUGCAACAGUGUUGGUGGCCCAUAGUGGCCUUUUCUUGAGGUUUUCUCUAGGUGGGUUUGGAGUUUCACCUAUAGUUUCCUCAAGAUUCUCCCUCUGAAGCUCAGGAGUAGGAUCUUCUUCUAUGUUAGGAGUGGGGAUAUAGAUUUCAAGCUCUAUUGUAUUUAGGGCUCUUUUGAAGGCUAAAUCUUCUUCAAAGAUUACAUCCCUACUAAGUUCAAUAUUUCUCUGACCAUGUAUAUAUAUUCUAUAGGCCUUGGAUGUUUCACUAUAUCCUACAAGUAUUCCCCUUUUUCUAGAAGGUUCUAGUUUUAGUCUUUUCUCUUUAGGUACAUGUAUAUAGAUAGGACACCCAAACAUCCUAAGGUGGUUGAUAUCUGGCUUUAGUUUGGUAAAUACUUUCUCAGGAGUUUUAUCUUCAAGAUGUGAGUGAGGACAUUUGUUUUGUAUAUACAUAGCAGUGUUAGUUGCUUCUGCCCAAAGAUUGAUAUUUAGAUUUUGAUCAAGAAUCAUGGCUUUGGUAGCUUCUACAAUUGUCCUAUUUUUCCUUUCAGCUACCCCAUUUUGUUGAGGAUUAUAAGGUAUUGUUAGCUCCCUCUUAAUCCCUGAGUUUUUACAAAAAUCUUUAAAUAAUUCUGAUGUGUAUUCCCCCCCAUUAUCAGUCCUUAGGAUUUUAAUUUUAUUUCCUGAGUAGUUCUCUGUUAGUGAUUUAAACUCUUUAAACCUACUAAGGAUCUCUUCUGAUUCUUUACACUUUAGAAAGUAGAUCCAAGUUUUCCUAGAGUAGUCAUCAACAAAUAUUACAUAAUACAAACAUCCUCCUAGAGAGGGUACGGACAUGGAUCCACAUACAUCAGAAUGAACUAACUCUAAAACUUUGCUUGUCUUCCUAGUACUAUUAUGGAAGGCACCCUUGAUAUUUUUACCUAGGGCACAUCCCUUGCAUGCCUUUGAAUGAUAUUGCUGCAACUUAGGUAAACUUGUGACAAGGUUUUCCAUAGAUGAUAAAGCUCUAUAAUUCAAGUGGACUAGUCUUCUAUGCCAGACUUCAUUUGCAUUUGUUGCUUCAUGAAUUAGGGCUAGGUUGGGCUCUGUGCACAACUCAUACAGAUAGCCUUGUCUUUGACCAAUGGCUUUAGCUUUCUUGAUGGAAGAAUUUUUUGGCCAAGCCAACACGUUGUUCUCCAUGAAGGUUACUUUGUAUCCGUUAUCUUCUAGGGCUGAUAUGGAGACUAGAUUUCUCUUGAUACCGGGGAUAUAUAGUACUCCUUCGAGUUGCAAUGAUAUGCCUGUCUUCAGUUUGAUGGUGCAGGAACCAAUUCCUCUAACUGGAUGUGAGGAAUCAUCUCCGAUAGUUACUUCCUCAUCAUUCUCCUCUGUCAUGGAGUCUAGCACUUCUCUAAACCCUGUAAUGUGUCUGGAUGAGCCAUUGUCGAUCACCCAAGAGUUAGACUUAUUUGAUGCAUGGCUUGUAAGUGCUGAGUAGAGGACAUAGUUCUGGGAGUCAUCUUCUCUUUUAGAUUUUCCUGCUUUGGCAAAUGUGGCUUGUUUGGCUCUCUCUGGACAUUUUGCAACAAAGUGCCUGAACUUGUCGCACCUAUAGCAUUGAAUAUGUGAUAGGUUUCUCUUUGAAGUGUUCUUGCCUUGAUGACCCUUCCUCUUCCUAAAUUGCUUCUUCUUGGUUGUCUUAUUUGUGUUAGUAUUUAGAACUUGAAGGUCUUCGUCUAUGUUCUUUUGUUUUAUUCCCAUCUUGUUCAAUCUUGAUUCUUCUUGGAGACAAUCAUCCCUUAAUCUUUCAAACUUAGGAUAUUUGGACCUUGCAUUGAUGCCUUGGACGAAUGUACUCCAUCCACUAGGCAACCCAUCUAGAGCAAUGAGUGUUAACUCUUUGCUUUGGAUCUCAUAAUCCAAAGUUGCUAGUUCAUCUCUUAGAAUUGAUAUCCGCAUAAAGUAGGCAUUGAUUGUCUCCCCCUUGUUCAUGGUGAUAUGAUUUAUUUCUCGUUUUAAUGCCAGAGUUCGACUUGCAUUUGAUAUCUCAAAUGUACUUUCAAGUGCUUUGAACAUUUUAUAGGUUGUCUGAUGUUUUCUUAUGAUGGGCAUUAUGUUGUUUCUCACCCCAUCAACUAUUAUUUUAAUAGCCUUUUCAUUUCCCUCAAUCCAUGCUGUUUUGUCAGGUUCAUUUUCAGGUUGAUCAUUUUUAGUUUGAACAAAUGAAUCCACUUUGUUCUCCUUUAAGAUCAUUUGGAUUCUGAACUUCCAGGCUGAAAAAUCAUCGCCACCUCCGAGUCUGUCUUCGAAUCUGAUAGCGCUGGCCAUUGGAGAAAUGUGAUGUAGUAUAUAACCUUGUUCUUAAAUUAUUCACAAAAUUAAAUAGCCUCAGGUUUGAUCAACUUGGCUCUGAUACCAUGUAAAAGUAUAAACAAUUUUCAAUUUGAAAAGAAGUUAUAUAUGAAAUACAAUAUAGUGUAUUUAUUUCUUUUAUUCACAAUGUAAUAUGUCUGAUUGUUAUUUCCUGCAGAUGGAGAGAGAACAUUAAUUAAUUCCGAUGUCCUUCUCCAAGCAAAUGAAUUGGGUUAUAUAAGAUAAUGGGGAAGACCAAGAGUUGCCUUGGUUGGUUAUGUCCUUUGGACAUAACCGAUCAAGAUAACCCUUGAUCGCAUCCUAUCAUUACCCAACCGACAUGAUGCUAAUUAACCCGAUAUAAAUCGGUGCCUUUACGUGAUUCAUAUUAACCGAUUGUUAUCGGUGUAAAUGCAUAACCCGAUAAUAUGUAUCGGUAACUAAGGCAUCCUUAACCGAUUCCCAAUCGGUGGCAGUUAAACAAGCCCGAUAUAUUAAUUGGUGCAUUACUAAUCACAUCCAAUAAUAUACCGGUGGCAUCUUUAUUAAGUGCAAAUAGAUAGUUAUGAAGGAGUUUGAUAGAUCAUGAUAUAUCAAUAUAUAUUAAUAUACAUAUGAAGUAAUUAUUAUUACUUCAUAUAUAUAUUCAUACAUAUUCAUACAUCUUCAAGAUCGAACAUAUAUAUAUAUCUGCAUUAAUGCUAUCUGAUGAAAAGGGGUUUGUAUCAGUUUUAUCUGACCGAUGCUAUUUGUUUCAACACAAACAAUUAUAUAAAGAUCACCAAACAUUGAAAUACUUGGUUUACAACCUAGUUCUUCAUGUGCACAUUUGUAGGUGGCUACUCCAAUUUCUAGAUAUUUAAGUAUAGUAGUAAAGCUAGGGAAACAUCAUGCAAGACAGGGUAAUCUGUCUUGAAUUGACACCAAAAAAAACUCAAUCUAUUGUCUACAGGAGGAUUUGUUGAAUCCACAACUUUUUUGAGUGGAGGCAGUACUUGAGGGUAGAGAAAAUUAUUGUAGCAAGGAGUAUGCUGAAACAUCUUAAAAAUGCAUAAAAAGAUUAAUCGCCUGAGUGUAGACUUGGUUGAUAAAUAGGCAUCUAUGCAAGAUGAGCGUUGAUGAAGUUUUAUGUUGAUGUAUACUAGACCAUGAGCUUGAAGACAUUACUUGAGUGUCAUGAAGGUAUAAUAGUCAUAGGGCACAAUAAAGGAAAGUUUGUUUCUUUGAAAGUGUUGAAAGCAAUACCUUGGUGGCCAACCUAUUUGUAUGCACAUUCAUUUGAUUGAGAACCCUGAUCACAUGUUGAUCCCUGUGUUAUCAGAAGAGCCAUUUGAAAAGUGAUCAAUUGAUUUUGGAGGUCCUAUAAUACUGCCAACAAGAAAGCAUGGAAUGAGAUGUAUCGUUGUUGUAGCAAAUUAUAUAGUGCACUAGGUGGAAGCUGCACCUACUUAACACUGUACCACAAAUACUGCUCUGUGUUUAUUUAUGAAAACAUUAUUAUCAAGACUGGAUGCCCAUUGUCACGUCCCCUCUCCUUUGCUGACUAUAACACUAUUAUUAAUGUUAAAAGUGUUUCUUAACACUAAAUUAUAUAUAUAUAUAUAUAUGCCCAGGGAUAGGACAUAUGAGUCCUAUAUAAGGAAGGUACAAAUGCAGGUUUGAGGAUUCAUUUUGAGUGCCUGAUUUCAGAUAUGCUGUUGAUGUUUUGAGUUUUAAGAUUCCAAGCCAGCAAGGGUGAACAUUGAAAACUCUUGAAGGCAACUGAGAGUUGCAGGUUGGAUGAAUUGAAGAUUACCAUAAAACCCUAGGUUGCCAUUUCUCUGAAGUUGAAGCUGAAUUGAAGUGAGAUUCGAGUGUUAAUCGCAGAGCAUAUUGGAGGCUAUGAUCCUGCAUCUAGGAAUUGUGCCAUCACUGGGAAACAUCCACCUUUGCUGGCUGCCUCAUUCUGGACAGUCAACCAGCCCAGUCGCUAGUUUCUGAAAUGUUGUCAUCACUAUAAUCCACUUGGUUUUUGGGAAGCUUAACCUACAGAUCCAAAGGGCAAAACCCCAAUCUAUCUGCCUGAUUGUAGGAGUUGCACAGGCAGCCACGCAUUCCUGGACCACAAGCAUUCAUCGCUCGGUCAUUAUGAGAUGCAGUAGGUCCCAUUCAUCCUUUUGGGCAGGUCCAGCUGAAUGAUCUAAGUGUGAGCUUCCCACCUGAAGCACCACCUGAGGCGCAACACAUAAGCCAGUCAUUAACUGACAGAUCCACAAGGACACCUCCCAG
Molecule: long non-coding RNA, 9515 nt
Organism: Cryptomeria japonica (Japanese cedar)
Lineage: Eukaryota; Viridiplantae; Streptophyta; Pinopsida; Cupressales; Cupressaceae
Exons: 3
Source: RefSeq, a predicted model, not a curated record